This is a non-coding RNA of Phanerochaete sordida, 71 nucleotides long. NCBI's taxonomy places the organism in Eukaryota, Fungi, Basidiomycota, Agaricomycetes, Polyporales, Phanerochaetaceae. The record is from the annotation of a GenBank genome assembly.
AGGAGUUUAGCUGAGUGGUUUAGCAACAAUUUUACACAUUGUAGACAGGGGUUCGAAUCCCUUACCUCUUA